GAUAAACGCUGACAGAAUGCUUAACACAUGCAAGUCGAUGAUGGGAGCUAGCUUGCUAGAAGAAGUCAUGGCGGACGGGUGAGUAACGUGUAAAGAACUUACCAUAUAGACUGGGAUAACAGAGGGAAACUUCUGAUAAUACUGGAUAAGUUAGAAGUAGCAUUACUAAGUAAUGAAAGGUAGCAAUACGCUAUAUGAGAGCUUUGCAUCCUAUUAGCUAGUUGGUGGGGUAAAAGCCUACCAAGGCGAUGAUAGGUAGCCGGCCUGAGAGGGUGGACGGCCACAAGGGGACUGAGAUACGGCCCUUACUCCUACGGGAGGCAGCAGUGGGGAAUAUUGGACAAUGGAGGCAACUCUGAUCCAGCAAUUCUGUGUGUGUGAAGAAGGUUUUAGGACUGUAAAACACUUUUAGUAGGGAAGAAAGAAAUGACGGUACCUACAGAAGAAGCGACGGCUAAAUACGUGCCAGCAGCCGCGGUAAUACGUAUGUCGCGAGCGUUAUCCGGAAUUAUUGGGCUUAAAGGGCAUCUAGGCGGUUAAACAAGUUGAAGGUGAAAACCUGUGGCUCAACCAUAGGCUUGCCUACAAAACUGUAUAACUAGAGUACUGGAAAGGUGGGUGGAACUACACGAGUAGAGGUGAAAUUCGUAGAUAUGUGUAGGAAUGCCGAUGAUGAAGAUAACUCACUGGACAGCAACUGACGCUGAAGUGCGAAAGCUAGGGGAGCAAACAGG
Molecule: ribosomal RNA, 734 nt
Filed under: uncultured Sneathia sp.
Lineage: Bacteria; Fusobacteriati; Fusobacteriota; Fusobacteriia; Fusobacteriales; Leptotrichiaceae
Description: bacterial SSU rRNA
Rfam family: Bacterial small subunit ribosomal RNA
Source: RNAcentral